UAGAACCUCCAGUUUCUAAAUAUAUCCCACUUCCAUCUAGCUCCAACAGAUAACUAAAAUCCCAGUUACCCGGAGAUUGCUGAGCUAGUUUUAAGGUAGCACAAGCUGCUCAGGAUUGUCAUCUAACAGCACGAGGAUGAGUGCAGGGGAUACAGGGAUGAGGGAAUCUCAAACUCUACAACUGCUUCAGGACAGAAUUAUCUUCCCUUCAAGAAGAGACAAGAGUUCAAAGAUGGAGCUAUGAGACAGUGAAAAGAGGACCAGAAAGAAAGAAGCAGCAGUGUGGAGACAAUGGAAAGAACACACCUGCGGAAGACAGGCGAUCCUAAUUCAAAUCUUCCCUCUUAUGUUGAUCAUCAGGCUCAUCUUGAGAGAAUCACUUAAUCACGAUCAGUAUCAGGCUUGUCAACUGUAAAAGGAGGGGAUUAGGCUUGACUUCUGGGAUUUUUACCAGCUCUUAACUCAGAACUGAUUUGCAGUUCCAGAGAAAAGUUCUGCCAAUAAAGGAGAUGAGCAAGA
This is a long non-coding RNA of Sarcophilus harrisii (Tasmanian devil), 519 nucleotides long. RefSeq lists it as uncharacterized. The transcript has 2 exons. The record is from RefSeq and is a predicted model, not a curated record. NCBI's taxonomy places the organism in Eukaryota, Metazoa, Chordata, Mammalia, Dasyuromorphia, Dasyuridae.